Molecule: ribosomal RNA, 1850 nt
Filed under: Clostridioides difficile
Lineage: Bacteria; Bacillati; Bacillota; Clostridia; Peptostreptococcales; Peptostreptococcaceae
Description: partial 23S ribosomal RNA
Rfam family: Bacterial large subunit ribosomal RNA
Source: RNAcentral
GGUCAAGUUAUUAAGGGUGCAGGGCGGAUGCCUUGGCACUAGGAGCCGAUGAAGGACGUGAUAAGCUGCGAUAAGCUUCGGGGAGUUGCACGUAAACUUUGAUCCGAAGAUUUCCGAAUGAGGAAACUCACUUAGAGUAAUGUCUAAGUAUCAUUAAGUGAAUACAUAGCUUAAUGAGGGGAACUCAGGGAACUGAAACAUCUAAGUACCUGAAGGAAGAGAAAGAAAUUCGAUUCCGUAAGUAGCGGCGAGCGAACGCGGAUUAGCCCAAACCAAUAAAGUUUUCUUUAUUGGGGUUGCGGACAUAUCAUAACGAAGAGGUAUCGUAAUUGAAGAGGUUUGGAAAGACCCACCACAGAAGGUAAUAGUCCUGUAUGUUAAACGAGAAGACUUCAGAUAUGAUCCAGAGUACCACGGGACACGUGAAACCCUGUGGGAAGCAGGAGGGACCACCCUCCAAGGCUAAAUACUACCUAGUGACCGAUAGCGUAUAGUACCGUGAGGGAAAGGUGAAAAGAACCCCGGGAGGGGAGUGAAAUAGAACCUGAAACCCUGCACUUACAAGCUGUGGAAGCACAUUUCUUGUGUGACCGCGUACUUUUUGUAGAACGGGCCAACGAGUUACGUUAAGUAGCAAGGUUAAGCACUUAAGGUGCGGAGCCGUAGCGAAAGCGAGUUUUAACUGAGCGUUCAGUUACUUGACGUAGACCCGAAACCGGGCGACCUACCCAUGAGCAGGAUGAAGCGAAAGUAAAAUUUCGUGGAGGUCCGAACCCACGAGCGUUGAAAAGCUCGGGGAUGACUUGUGGGUAGCGGUGAAAUUCCAAUCGAGCCCGGAGAUAGCUGGUUCUCCCCGAAAUAGCUUUAGGGCUAGCCUCAAGGUGAGAGAUACGGAGGUAGAGCACUGAAUGUCCUAGGGGGUAUUGCACCUACCGAAGACUAUCAAACUCCGAAUGCCGUCAUCUUAUACUUGGGAGUCAGACUGUGGGUGAUAAGAUUCAUAGUCGAAAGGGCAACAGCCCAGAUCGUCAGCUAAGGUCCCUAAAUGUAAGUUAAGUGGUAAAGGAUGUGGGAUUGCACAGACAACCAGGAUGUUGGCUUAGAAGCAGCCACUCAUUCAAAGAGUGCGUAAUAGCUCACUGGUCGAGUGAUCCUGCGCCGAAGAUUUCCGGGGCUAAAACUUACUACCGAAGCUACGGCAUCAGUAAUGAUGGGUAGGGGAGCUUCCCAUACGGGUUGAAGCAUGACCGUAAGGACAUGUGGACAGUAUGGGAGUGAGAAUGUUGGCAUGAGUAGCGAGAUGUGGGUGAGAAUCCCACAGGCCGUAAACCCAAGGUUUCCAGGGGAAGGUUCGUCCGCCCUGGGUUAGUCGGGACCUAAGCUGAGGCCGAAAGGCGUAGGUGAUGGACAACAGGUUGAUAUUCCUGUACUACCGAUAACCGUUUGAGAGAAGGGAUGACACAGUAGGAUAAGCUAAGCACACUGUUGGUUAUGUGUGCCCAAGCAUUGAGGCAGUCAAAGUAGGCAAAUCCGCUUUGAUAAUGCUGGGAUGUGAUGGGGAGCGAAAUUUAGUAGCGAAGUAGCUGAUUUCACACUGUCAAGAAAAGUCUCUAUCGAGGUUAAAGGUACCCGUACCGCAAACCGACACAGGUGGGUGAGGAGAGUAUCCUAAGGCCAGCGAGAGAACUGUUGUUAAGGAACUCGGCAAAAUGACCCCGUAACUUAGGGAUAAGGGGUGCCACCAUCAGGUGGCCGCAGAGAAUAGGCCCAAGCGACUGUUUACCAAAAACAUAGGUUUCUGCUAAGUCGCAAGACGAUGUAUAGGAGCUGACGCCUGCCCGGUGCUGGAA